Molecule: ribosomal RNA, 307 nt
Filed under: uncultured bacterium
Lineage: Bacteria
Description: partial 16S ribosomal RNA
Rfam family: Bacterial small subunit ribosomal RNA
Source: RNAcentral
UGGGGAAUAUUGGACAAUGGGGGCAACCCUGAUCCAGCAAUGCCGCGUGUGUGAAGAAGGUCUUCGGAUUGUAAAGCACUUUCGACGGGGACGAUGAUGACGGUACCCGUAGAAGAAGCCCCGGCUAACUUCGUGCCAGCAGCCGCGGUAAUACGAAGGGGGCUAGCGUUGCUCGGAAUGACUGGGCGUAAAGGGCGUGUAGGCGGUUUACACAGUCAGAUGUGAAAUCCCCGGGCUUAACCUGGGAGCUGCAUUUGAUACGUGUAGACUAGAGUGUGAGAGAGGGUUGUGGAAUUCCCAGUGUAGA